CUUUGAAGCCUCAGAUCCCUAUUCUCUUUAUCUUAGUCCAGAAUGAUAUCAGCUGAAAGCAAUGUUAAAGAGAAGGGUAAAAUCUUUCUUCUUCAACAAUGGUGUGAGAAGCUUGGAUCUUGAAAGGGCAGUCUGAAAUCCAGCUGCUACAACAGGAGAAGAGAUUUUAACUAAGAGUAAGGACAGUGGGUUACUUGGGCAAUCUCCAUCAGUCACCCCAUUAGCCACCUAAAAUAGACCACAAGAAAUAUUCACUGCCCAAAUGCAGUUUCAUUCCUUCAAGAAGAAAAGUUCUCCCUCACACUUUCUGAGGGAAGAUGAUAUGAAGACACACAAGGGGAAGGCCAUGUGAAGAUGGAAGGAUAGGAGGCAUGCAUCUACAGUGAAUGUCAAAGACUGCUGACAAACCACCAGAAGCUUAGGAAGAGCAAGGAAGGAUUCCCCUAUUGGUUUCAGAAGAAGCAUGGUCAUGCCAUUACCUUGAUUUUAGACUUCUAGCUUCUAAAACAAUAGGACAAUAAAUUUCUGUUGUUUUAAGUAACCCAGUUUAUGUUACACUUUUAUUCUUAUUAGUGGAUUAAAGAUUUUAAUUUUAUAUUGUCUGAUUUCCUGUGAGACACAAAGUUUUUAAUAUAUUCUAUGACU
Mustela erminea (ermine) is the source of this 645-nucleotide long non-coding RNA. RefSeq lists it as uncharacterized. The transcript is spliced from 5 exons. The record is from RefSeq and is a predicted model, not a curated record. Lineage: Eukaryota; Metazoa; Chordata; Mammalia; Carnivora; Mustelidae.